GCAGGUGCCACACACUGCCUUGGCGGUACAAAGCCACGUGUAGAGGAGCAGUUGGGGAAGGUGCCCUUCAUUGAUGAGUCCUGCAGUGCCUAAUUCUGUGAUGAGCAGGUGGGUGAGACCUCACAGGACUCUUGAGAAGCUGGGUCUUCUCUAAGAGAUGAUGAACAGGAAACUUGUGGCUGCAGGGACAUCCCUGUGGAUGGUUUUGUCUUUCCUUGAUGACCAUGGC
Molecule: long non-coding RNA, 229 nt
Organism: Calypte anna (Anna's hummingbird)
Lineage: Eukaryota; Metazoa; Chordata; Aves; Apodiformes; Trochilidae
Exons: 3
Source: RefSeq, a predicted model, not a curated record